Molecule: ribosomal RNA, 860 nt
Filed under: uncultured bacterium
Lineage: Bacteria
Description: bacterial SSU rRNA
Rfam family: Bacterial small subunit ribosomal RNA
Source: RNAcentral
AGAGUUUGAUCCUGGCUCAGGACGAACGCUGGCGGCGUGCUUAACACAUGCAAGUCUACGAGAAAAGAGUAGCAAUACUCUGUGUAAAGUGGCGCACGGGUGAGUAACACGUAAGCAAUCUACCUUUAGGUUUGGAAUAACCCCGAGAAAUCGGGGCUAAUACCGGAUGAUGCAGCGGCACCGCAUGGUGAUGUUGUUAAAGUUCUCGAAACGCCUAUAGAUGAGCUUGCGUCUGAUUAGCUAGUUGGUGAGGUAACGGCCCACCAAGGCUACGAUCAGUAACUGGUCUGAGAGGAUGAUCAGUCACACUGGAACUGAGACACGGUCCAGACUCCUACGGGAGGCAGCAGUGAGGAAUAUUGGGCAAUGCCCGCAAGGGUGACCCAGCAACGCCGCGUGGAGGAUGAAGGCCGUAAGGUUGUAAACUCCUGUUAGAGGGGACGAAUGGUUUCGGUAACACCGAAAUUUGACUGUACCCUCAGAGAAAGCCCCGGCUAACUACGUGCCAGCAGCCGCGGUAAUACGUAGGGGGCAAGCGUUGUCCGGAUUUACUGGGUGUAAAGGGCGCGCAGGCGGAUUGAUAAGUCAGAGGUGAAAUCCUGCAGCUUAACUGCAGAACUGCCUUUGAAACUAUCAAUCUUGAGUACGGAAGAGAGAGACGGAAUUCCAGGUGUAGUGGUGAAAUACGUAGAUAUCUGGAAGAACACCAGUUGCGAAGGCGGUCUCUUGGUCCGUUACUGACGCUCAGGCGCGAAAGCGUGGGUAGCAAACAGGAUUAGAUACCCUGGUAGUCCACGCUGUAAACGAUGAAUACUAGGUGUUGGACCGCAAGGUUCAGUGCCGCAGCUAACGCAUUAAGA